This 223-nucleotide ribosomal RNA is filed under the name Aeromonas hydrophila. Its description in RNAcentral is "partial 16S rRNA". The record is from RNAcentral. Lineage: Bacteria; Pseudomonadati; Pseudomonadota; Gammaproteobacteria; Aeromonadales; Aeromonadaceae.
CUUUCCUCCUCGCUGAAAGUGCUUUACAACCCGAAGGCCUUCUUCACACACGCGGCAUGGCUGCAUCAGGGUUGCCCCCAUUGUGCAAUAUUCCCCACUGCUGCCUCCCGUAGGAGUCUGGACCGUGUCUCAGUUCCAGUGUGGCUGAUCAUCCUCUCAGACCAGCUAGGGAUCGUCGCCUUGGUGAGCCAUUACCUCACCAACUAGCUAAUCCCACCUGGGC